This 213-nucleotide ribosomal RNA is filed under the name uncultured eukaryote. RNAcentral describes it as "partial 18S ribosomal RNA". It matches the Rfam family "Eukaryotic small subunit ribosomal RNA", at positions 1299 to 1458 of the family's 1831-position model. The record is from RNAcentral.
UGGUGGUGUGAAUUGUCUGGUUGAUUCCGUUAACGAACGAGACCUUGACUUCUAAAUAGACACUGGAAGAUCCUGCGCUAAGGCCGCUGGGGCCUACCGGCGGAAGGGUCCGUCCCCCGCUGGUAGUUUGUUCCCGGUGGUUGCAUGUCUUCCAGGAUGAUCUUCUUAGAGGGACUAUUUGUGACAAGCAAAUGGAGGUUCGAGGCAAAAACA